Caerostris darwini is the source of this 112-nucleotide non-coding RNA. The record is from the annotation of a GenBank genome assembly. Lineage: Eukaryota; Metazoa; Arthropoda; Arachnida; Araneae; Araneidae.
AACGGCCGUACCAUGCUGAAUAUACCGGUUCUCGUUAGAUCACCGAAGUCAAGCAUCAUUGGGCACGGUCAGUACUUGGGUGGCUGACCACCUGGGAACACCGCGUGCCGUU